Molecule: long non-coding RNA, 742 nt
Organism: Phalaenopsis equestris
Lineage: Eukaryota; Viridiplantae; Streptophyta; Magnoliopsida; Asparagales; Orchidaceae
Exons: 3
Source: RefSeq, a predicted model, not a curated record
AGUUUCCUUAGGAUUCCAACGGAACUCUAGGACAUCGCCUAAGGAGUUCUUUCCCAACUUAUCAAGCGGAUUUCCAUACCAUUUGUCACGUCUUCCAUUGUACCAAGGUAUUGGCAUAUGUGCUGUGCUUAUGUAGGAGUGAAGACCAAUUGCUUAUUUCAGCGAAAAGUUGAGUGGGGCCACCUUAAACUAUCUAACUUAUGAGAAGGAGAUGUAUGCAUUGGUUAGAGCCUUGGAAACUUGGAAGCACUACCUUUGGCCUAAGAAGCUCUUGAUUCACACUGAUCAUGAGUCCUUGAGCACUUGAAAUAUCAACCCAAGCUAAACAAAAGGCAUGCUCGUUGGGUGGAGUUUAUUGAGACAUUUCCUUAUGACAUUCGAUACAAGCAAGUUAAGGAAAAUGUUGUUGCUAACGCUCUUUCUCGAAGGUAUUGAUUUGAGGACAAAUUUUUUUCAAGAGGAGGGGAACGAUGCAAAUGAUAGCAUGGAUGACAAUGACAUGACUUCAAGAGAAUAUUUUGUUCAAGUUCCAUGUGGGCCAAUUACUAGAUGUUGUGCAAAGAGGGUGGAAGAAUCUCUUAAUGGAUUAAUCCAUGAGACUUGGACUCAAGCCAAUUCCUAUGAUCUAAGGACAAAGAGCCACAAAGAUUUGUCAGCUUAUUCGAAACCCAAGGAAAAAUGAGACAUAUUAUUAUGGCUGAAUAUUUUGUAUUUUUUUUAUUGUGGUUGAAUAAUGGCUUGC